UAGGGGGAUGCCGAAAACCCUUUAUCCGAGUAGGCC
Non-coding RNA from Pedobacter heparinus DSM 2366, 36 nucleotides. The record is from Rfam. NCBI's taxonomy places the organism in Bacteria, Pseudomonadati, Bacteroidota, Sphingobacteriia, Sphingobacteriales, Sphingobacteriaceae.